Molecule: long non-coding RNA, 1847 nt
Organism: Catharus ustulatus (Swainson's thrush)
Lineage: Eukaryota; Metazoa; Chordata; Aves; Passeriformes; Turdidae
Exons: 2
Source: RefSeq, a predicted model, not a curated record
AGCUCUUGGUACAGCAGCCCAUUGUUUUCAGCCUGUUUAAAUGGGAGGGUUCCGUGGGGAAAGCUGCGCUUCCAUCGAUGCUUCCACACAGGGAAAAGGAGAUGGGGCUCUCCUGUACCCCAGGGUCCCUAAUCAUUCUGCAAACAGCAAUUUUCUCAUGCAGGGAAAAGAGAUAUGAAGAUCACCUCCAGCCCUCACUUAGUCCCUGACCAUCUGUGUAAUGCCAGAGGAUGCUUCAGGGAAGAGGCUGAUAGCUCAUGGAGGCUGAAGCAGGACAUUAGUGAUCACACCACUGAGCUGAAUUUUGGCUGAAACUAGCAAGUGAACAACCUUUGCCAUACCAUUAGUGGGGCUUUUUUAACAGCAGCACACUCUCAGGAGCACAGGCAAGUCUCUCUCCAGGCUUCAGUCUGCUCCUCCAUAAAACAAGGAUGUCCAGCUGGCUGUCUACAUUCCUAUGCAAAGUUCCUGGGAAACCUUCAAAUGAGGCCAUUUAUUGCUACAGCCCCACGGCUCUUGGUGGUCAUUUCCACCUGUGUGUGUGGGAGGUAGGGAAUAAAACGUGCUGUUAGUGUUGGAUGCUUUGCAAACACUUUGCCAAGGGGGAGGCACCAACGGAUGGGAGCUGAGCCCUGUGGACACCUCCCUGCCUGGGGAAGCUGGUGCCCAUCCAAGUGCCAUGCUGCCAUCAGGCAGAGUCAAAAUGACAAGUGCUUUUCUGUAACAUUCAACACUGAGUUUCUAUGGACCCAUUUCCAAAUGAGAUGCCUCUUUUCCUGGUGAAGGAAGUAUUUACACAUAAUUUGGUUAUUUUGUUAUGACCUGUAGACAUUUACGUGCCUUUAAAGAGGUUUCCCACCCUGGGCAUGUCUGAGAUGGCCCCAGACUCUGAUCCCAGGGCAGGACCAAUCCCCAAUUCCAUGGAUGGGUAAUACCCUGACACUAUUCUUGCCCCAGCAGAACCCCUCAGCCUUGAGACAGCUCAGCAUGAGCCCAGGAGAGCACAGUGAAGUACCAGGGAAGAUGCCAAACAAGGUGAUUGCCAGCUGUGCUAGCUGGUUAUAUUUAUACCUGCAGUGGAAAUAGACUUCAAAGGGAACAUAAACGUUCUUGGCUCCUUUCUCAACCAUUCUUUCACCUGGCACAGUGGUGUGAAGGGACUAAAUAAACACUGAAAAUCUUACUUAGUCUGUAUUCUGCUAAAUAAGACCCUACCAACUUCCUUUUUAUCUUUUUAACACAAGACAAAGAAUUCUCUUAAGACUUUUCUGACUUUUUCUAAGUCCUCACACAGACUUUCUUAGCAAAGAACUAAGUUAUGCCUUUCUUCCAGAACAUUUGGACAAAUGACAAGACUAGAUAAUAGGUCGUCCAUAUCCCUUAAGUAUAAAUGUAUUCACUGACUGCCUAUGAGGAAGCUGAUGAAAGCUUUAAAAAUCUAUAAACAGUCAGAAUAACAUUUCUGCCGUGGGGAGACCUGUGACAAACAAGUACCCCUGCAAUUUAGCAGCAUUUUUGAUCUAAAUGGUUAAUGCUGGAGAAGAAAAACUGCCUGUGUCACACACCUUAGGGGACCUCGAAACACCUUGGCUGAAUGGCAUCUCCCCUGAACUCAGCUGCACUGUGGAUGCCUCCCAGAGCACUGGGUUUAGGUUUUUAAUCCAUUCCCAAACUCCUCCAAGUAUCCAAGGUUCCAUGAGGGGUGGUCUGAGGAUGCUCUGGGAGCAUUGUGCUCACAUCACCUAAUUCUCCUGUCAAACACUGCAAAGUCCCCUUGUGCCAUGUCCCCAUCACUGGAAAUACCAAUGUUAUUUUCACAGAAAAUAAAGACUUCCUGAUAGACAAGA